Molecule: long non-coding RNA, 822 nt
Organism: Fukomys damarensis (Damara mole-rat)
Lineage: Eukaryota; Metazoa; Chordata; Mammalia; Rodentia; Bathyergidae
Exons: 3
Source: RefSeq, a predicted model, not a curated record
AUAAAAGAAUGCGCGCCGGAAGAUUAAGCCUUUUCCUUACGGAAAGCGACGGCUGAGUAAUCGUGUUUUGGCCUAAAAUGAUAAUUUUGUCAGGACUUAUUGGCGCAGUUAAAAUGCAGGCGGGUCGAGAUUCUUGCUUUAACGGUAGGAGGCGGUCAACUUUAAAAGGCUUUAGAUUCGAGGAACCUAAAGGACUUAGGCAUUCAUUAGGUUCCAUGACGACCACGCGCAACCCUGGACCCUGACAGCGCGUGCGUCAGUCCAGGCCGAGGUCUGUGCUCCGGGUAACACCCAGGCGGAAGAUCAGCAUUUCUGCAGCGGGGUCAUGUGCCCAUUUUGAGUCUGCUCUGUAUUUGGCGCCAGAGCAGCCUGAGAACCGCCACAAUUUGAUGCACAUGGAAGCAGAACUUAACUGUUGAUGAGUAACGGAAAAUACAGCAAGAUGAUCAAGAACUACAAAGUCCUAACGGGUGAAGUCUUAUGCGGCAUGUUGCAGUGGGUCACCAAACUUAAAUUUUAGUGGGGAAAUGGGCAUUUUGAAUAAUACGGAAACUCCUGGGGCAGUAUUUUCAAUACAUGUCUAAAUUGCUUAAAUUAGCAUUUACGGUACUUCCUUGAUAUAAUUGAAUAAAAUGCUUGAUUUGUGGGCAUGGAUAUGCUGUUCUUUAAACAAUAAAUGGAGAAAAAGUAAAAAUACUUCCUGUCCACGGUUAGAUUGUGUAAAGAUAACAUGAAUAGUUUGAGAAAGUUGCACAUAAAAAUUACCCAAGGGAGCAGUGUUCUCACACUACCCCAAAAUUAAGACAAUACAAAAUAAGAAUU